CCCUGGGGAGGAAUGGGAGAGGGAGGAGGACGCCAGGGGCACAGGGACAGCCUCCGGGGCGGGGCGCGGCGCCAGCCUAGCCCGAGGAUGGAGGCUGAGGCCGCCUGUUGAGUCACAGUUUCCCUGUGAUGCUCAUUUUAACCAGAUGGCACUUGCUUAGCAGUUUGGAGGAGAAGACCUGUUCCCCUGCAGAAAUGGGGUUUCUCCAUGUUGCCUGGUCUGGUCUUGAACUCCUGGGCUCAAACGAUCUGUCCAUCUUGGCUUCCCAAAACCUGAAGCCAGGCCAGCCUUCCAUGAUUAGACCUCAACUCAUGAGAACUCUUGCCUUGCUCACAAGUGGGAGUAAAUGCUCAUAGCUCUAGAAAUCUCCCAGGAACCAGACAUCACGGAAACUAGAAAGGCUAAGGGAGUCCAAUCUUCCUCUAAAUUGGCCAACAGUAGAGUGGUGGAAAGAGAACAAGCUGCAAACCAGACAGACCCAAGCUUGAAUCUCACCUCUGCCAAGCUACCAGGGACCUACCCCGAACUUUCAUGAACCCCUGGUAGCUGAAUAGCAGCUUGUCUAAGCGAGGUGCAGGGAUUUUGUCAAAGUCGGCCUCGGUGUUAAAGGCAGGGCCACCUACCAUGAACUUCUCUCUGUGACUUUAUUCUUUAGCAGUGCUCAAGUGUAAAUAAACUUGUUUACCAGGAUCAGAAUGGCCAUGUUAAUGAAGUCUUAUUUGUGUCACCACAAUGACAAGUAAUUUGUGCACAGCUGGACUCGGAGAGGGGACAAAACCAGAGAAAUUGUAUUUCUGUUCUGAAGUUUCCAUACAGAUGCCUUAGGCCAAAGUUAGUACAGCCAAUAUUUGCCUGUUUCUUUGGAUUGUGUGUCCAUGCUGGAGAAAAGCCUUGUUACUGUGCCCAGUGUGGUAAACGAAAUUAUAUGUACGCAGUGAGAAGAAAAAUGAAAUAAGAAGCACUGAUGAAUGUACCCACGGGUGUGACCUUGGGGGCCAGUGUGUGGUUUUUAUGAAAUGAACGCAUGAAUACGAGGACCCUAAUUAUUGCUUUCAACGGACAAAGUAUGGUGAAUAUAUAGAGAACGUUGCUGUACAACACUGGCUGUGUCUCAAAGCGGCUUUAGAAGUAAAUAUAGAAAUUCUUUGGUACAUGGUAUUGCAUAGAAAAGUCAUUAAGAAAAAAGCAAGACAAUUUGUUAAGACCUUGUUAAGUGGAGCUGGGGGAUGAUUAAUUUUGUUUGUUUGUUUUUGUUGUUCCCUGGUAGAGCUCAACAAACUACAGACCACGGGCCAAAUCUGACCCACCGCUGCUUUUGUAAAUAAAACUUUAUUGGAAAAAAGCCA
Homo sapiens (human) is the source of this 1346-nucleotide long non-coding RNA. Ensembl annotates it as leukemia-associated non-coding IGF1R activator RNA 1. Its record names the gene LUNAR1. The record is from Ensembl. NCBI's taxonomy places the organism in Eukaryota, Metazoa, Chordata, Mammalia, Primates, Hominidae.